UGCGGGGUGGAGCAGUGGUAGCUCGUCGGGCUCAUAACCCGAAGGUCGUCGGUUCGAGUCCGGCCUCCGCUA
This 72-nucleotide transfer RNA is filed under the name Bacteroidales bacterium. RNAcentral describes it as "tRNA-Met". It matches the Rfam family "tRNA". Rfam says of the family: Transfer RNA (tRNA) molecules are approximately 80 nucleotides in length. Lineage: Bacteria; Pseudomonadati; Bacteroidota; Bacteroidia; Bacteroidales. The record is from RNAcentral.